Molecule: long non-coding RNA, 96 nt
Organism: Etheostoma cragini (Arkansas darter)
Lineage: Eukaryota; Metazoa; Chordata; Actinopteri; Perciformes; Percidae
Exons: 3
Source: RefSeq, a predicted model, not a curated record
GGGCCCUAUCUUGUACCCGGCGCAAUGCAGCACAAAGCCCGACGCAAGUGUCUUUGCUAUUUUAAGACCGAUGCAGUUCUGUGUAAAUAGCAAAUG